Molecule: ribosomal RNA, 516 nt
Filed under: uncultured Saprospiraceae bacterium
Lineage: Bacteria; Pseudomonadati; Bacteroidota; Saprospiria; Saprospirales; Saprospiraceae
Description: bacterial SSU rRNA
Rfam family: Bacterial small subunit ribosomal RNA
Source: RNAcentral
AGGCAGCAGUAAGGAAUAUUGGUCAAUGGGCGAAAGCCUGAACCAGCCAUCCAGCGUGCAGGAAGAAGGCCCUACGGGUUGUAAACUGCUUUUGUCAGGGAAGAAACCCUUGGAUUCACUCCGAGGCUGACGGUACCUGAAGAAUAAGCCCCGGCUAACUCCGUCCCAGCAGCCGCGGUAAUACGGAGGGUGCGAGCGUUAUCCGGAAUUACUGGGUUUAAAGGGUGCGUAGGCGGCUUGGUAAGUCAGGAGUGAAAGUCUGCGGCUCAACCGUAAAAUUGCUUUUGAUACUGCCAGGCUAGAAUCAGGAUGAGGUCAGCGGAAUGUGGCAUGUAGCGGUGAAAUGCAUAGAUAUGCCAUAGAACACCUAUUGCGAAGGCAGCUGGCUAGACCUGUAUUGACGAUGAGGCACGAAAGCGUGGGGAGCGAACAGGAUUAGAUACCCUGGUAGUCCACGCCCUAAACGAUGCUUACUCGACGUAUGACGCUUGACGUUGUGCGUCCAAGCGAAACCGU